GGUUCAGAACGAACGCUGGCGGCGUGCUAACACAUGCAAGUCGAACGCGAAAGGGACUUCGGUCCUGAGUAAAGUGGCGGCACGGGUGAGUAACGCGUAGAUAACCUGUCUUCAUGUCUGGAAUAAUACGCCGAAAGGGGUACUAAUACCGGAUAUCUUGCUUUUCAUAAGUUAUGCAAGCAAAGGUGGCCUCUGCAUAUGCUACUGCAUGAAGAGGGGUCUGCGUACCAUUAGCUAGUAGGUGGGGUAAUGGCCUACCUAGGCGACGAUGGUUAGCGGGUCUGAGAGGAUGAUCCGCCACACUGGCACUGGAACACGGGCCAGACUCCUACGGGAGGCAGCAGUGAGGAAUAUUGCGCAAUGGGGGAAACCCUGACGCAGCGACGCCGCGUGAAGUGAGGAAGGCCUUCGGGUCGUAAAGCUCUGUCAAGAGGAAAGAAGUGUACAAUGGCUAAUACCUGUUGUAUUUGACGGUACCUCUAAAGGAAGCACCGGCUAACUCCGUGCCAGCCGCGGC
This 517-nucleotide ribosomal RNA is filed under the name uncultured bacterium. Its description in RNAcentral is "bacterial SSU rRNA". It matches the Rfam family "Bacterial small subunit ribosomal RNA", at positions 21 to 518 of the family's 1533-position model. The record is from RNAcentral.